Molecule: unclassified non-coding RNA, 346 nt
Filed under: fungal sp.
Lineage: Eukaryota; Fungi
Description: partial internal transcribed spacer region
Rfam family: Eukaryotic small subunit ribosomal RNA (bases 1-46)
Source: RNAcentral
AAGUCGUAACAAGGUUUCCGUAGGUGAACCUGCGGAAGGAUCAUUAACACGUUUUUUCCAACGUUUUUGACCCAUUCUAUUUUCUGUGCACCUCAUGCGUCCGGCCUCCCAGCCGCCCGUCGAGUUUACUCGGCGUGGCCUGUUGGGCGUCUUUGGGAACCAAGGUUAUUAGUCUUUUUGAGUGCGACUUCAAGUUGUAUUCAAGUUGCUUUUGACCUCCCUCUGGCGUUGCCACCUCACCCAAACCCUUUAAUCUAAUCUAUCUGAACUUUUAGUUGAAGUUUCGCAAGAAACGACAACGACACAAAACAAACAACAACUCUUAACAACGGAUAUCUUGGUUCUC